Molecule: unclassified non-coding RNA, 335 nt
Filed under: uncultured fungus
Lineage: Eukaryota; Fungi
Description: partial contains 5.8S ribosomal RNA, internal transcribed spacer 2, and large subunit ribosomal RNA
Source: RNAcentral
AACGCAUAUUGCGCUCGAGCCCUCGGGCAAGAGCAUGUCUGCCUCAGCGUCGGUUUAUACCCUCACCCCUCCCAAUUUGUUGGGCGUGUUUGCUGUUAUGCAACCAUAUGGGUGGAUCUGGCCUCCCCAAUCAGCCUCCGGGCGGGUUGGGUUGGCUGAAGCGCAGAGGCUCAAGCAAGGACCCAGUAUGGGCUUCAACUGGAUAGGUAGCACCGGCAUUCGCCGACUACACGAAGUUGUUGCUUGUGGAUCUUGUUAGGGCCAAGCAGGAACGUGCCUAUGGCAUCGUUUACACUUUCGACCUGAGCUCAGGCAAGGCUACCCGCUGAACUUAA